This 267-nucleotide ribosomal RNA is filed under the name uncultured bacterium. RNAcentral describes it as "partial 16S ribosomal RNA". It matches the Rfam family "Bacterial small subunit ribosomal RNA", at positions 793 to 1055 of the family's 1533-position model. The record is from RNAcentral.
GUCCACGCCGUAAACGAUGAUAACUAGCUGUCCGGGCUCAUAGAGCUUGGGUGGCGCAGCUAACGCAUUAAGUUAUCCGCCUGGGGAGUACGGUCGCAAGAUUAAAACUCAAAGGAAUUGACGGGGGCCUGCACAAGCGGUGGAGCAUGUGGUUUAAUUCGAAGCAACGCGCAGAACCUUACCAGCGUUUGACAUCCUUGUCGCGAUUACCAGAGAUGGUUUUCUUCAGUUCGGCUGGACAAGUGACAGGUGCUGCAUGGCUGUCGU